This 666-nucleotide long non-coding RNA is filed under the name Lathyrus oleraceus (garden pea). RNAcentral describes it as "Pisum sativum (pea) long non-coding RNA (PSAT_LNC003193)". Lineage: Eukaryota; Viridiplantae; Streptophyta; Magnoliopsida; Fabales; Fabaceae. The record is from RNAcentral.
AAAAAAUAACCAUCGUAUUUAUUGAAAUACUAUGGCAUAAUUCUAGACAAAAAAAUAAUAUUUAACAUUUAAAUUACUUUUAGAAAGAUCUUCAACUUUUUGCAAGAGAAAAAAGAAGAGAAAUUAUAAGAAUAACAAUAUUCACUAUGUGCAAAUACAUCCACCUAACAGGCAAUUUGGUGUUCCUCUAACUCGCAUGCACUUAGUAGUAAAACAAUCGAGGAAGGUGGUACAUUUGAAACCUAUGAUACAAAACAAGAAUAAAAGAGUGUUAUUUAAAAUAACUCAAGAAGAAAAACACUUGUAAAUGGUGAGAAGAAAAAAAGCUUACCAUUGGCAUCACUUGAAACAGAAAAUAGUGAAUGUAAAAUGAUCAUAGCAUAAACAAACAUGAAAACUUUAGUCAUUGUUUUCAUUUGUAUGCAAGGAACAAAAAUCAAUUCAAUUACUUUUUUUUUCUUCAUGAGAACUCUAUCACUUUAUAGUAUAAAGAAAUUGCAAGAUACACUUUACAAAUUAAAAAUGUUAUUAAAUAUCUCUUACGUAUAUUGAUGUUGUGUAUUUUCUCAUUUAUCUUGUUCAAUAGAUUAUUACUAUUACGAAUUCAAAUGGACUUUCACUGUGUUGUAAGUAAAUAGCCUUUCAAUUCAAUGAAAUUAAUCAAAU